Talpa occidentalis (Iberian mole) is the source of this 867-nucleotide long non-coding RNA. RefSeq lists it as uncharacterized. The transcript has 3 exons. The record is from RefSeq and is a predicted model, not a curated record. NCBI's taxonomy places the organism in Eukaryota, Metazoa, Chordata, Mammalia, Eulipotyphla, Talpidae.
UCUCUUCUACCCGAACCCCCCCUCCCCCCCAAGCAGAGAGACCCCAGCAGCAGCAGCAGCUGAUGAUGAAGAGAGAGGCAGUGGCAGAGGGGGGGCACCUUUUAUUUCUAUUUUUAAAGAGACAGGACACUAAUUUUACCCCACUUCAACCUUGAAUUGAGGGGGGUGGGGGGAAAGGCGGCAGAGUUCCUUCCCCCACCCUCCAGCCCUGAGCCUGAGAGGGGGAUUGAGCCUGAGAGAGAAGGAGAAGGAGUUUCUUCUUCUUCGAAAACCCCCAUCCACGACUCCUACUCCCUCACCCCACCACUAGCCUCCCUCCCGAGCCCCCUCCACCCUCCUCCUCUUUGGCCGUGAGAGGAGGAGAGAAAGAGACCAAAAGCCUCUUAGCAACACAGACCCUUUGCUGCUGCUGCUGCUGCUGCUGUUACUGCUGCUGCUGCUGCUGCUGCUACUGCUGCUGCUGUUUGGCCCUGGCUGGAGACAUCUCACUACACCCAGGAGCAGCCACUUCCCCAGCUCAGCUCCUUCUCCUUCGCCUCCUCCUCCUCCACUCCCCCCCUUUAUUACCCUUUGUGUCAUCCUCCACAGCUCCAGGGAAGGCACUCAAAAGUGGGGGGCAGGAAAGAUGCUUUUUGAGGAUGUCAGCUUCUACAUGUGGGAAGUAAAUAUUGAAGGUUACAUGGUUUACAGACAAGAUCUUUAAAAGAUAGACAUUCAAGGACCAAGGAAACAAAUACCAGAAGCCAAGAGCACAGAAUAUUUUCCUUCAUCAGUUUAUAGAACUCUAAUACAUCGCUAAAUCCAUCAAACACAAAGGAAUGACUGCCUUGGCAGAUGGCCACAGAGGAUGUCAACAAUAUUUUGGAG